CGCUGGCGGCAUGCCUUACACAUGCAAGUCGAACGGCAGCACGGGAGCAAUCCUGGUGGCGAGUGGCGAACGGGUGAGUAAUAUAUCGGAACGUGCCCAGUCGUGGGGGAUAACGUAGAGAAAUUUACGCUAAUACCGCAUACGAUCUAAGGAUGAAAGCGGGGGAUCGUAAGACCUCGCGCUGAUAGAUGAGCCCAUGCCGGAUUAGCUAGUUGGUGAGGUAACGGCUCACCAAGGCGACGAUCCGUAGCUGGUCUGAGAGGACGGCCAGCCACACUGGGACUGAGACACGGCCCAGACUCCUACGGGAGGCAGCAGUGGGGAAUAUUGGACAAUGGGGGAAACCCUGAUCCAGCGACGCCGCGUGUGUGAAGAAGGCCUGCGGGUUGUAAAGCACUUUCGGUGGGAACGAAAUAUGCCGGGCUAAUACCCCGGUAGGCUGACGUUACUCAAUGAAGAAGCACCGGCUAACUCUGUGCCAGCAGCCGCGGUAAUACAGAGGGUGCGAGCGUUAAUCGGAAUUACUGGGCGUAAAGCGCACGUAGGUGGCGACGUAAGUCGGGUGUGAAAGCCCCGGGCUCAACCUGGG
Molecule: ribosomal RNA, 589 nt
Filed under: uncultured Gammaproteobacteria bacterium
Lineage: Bacteria; Pseudomonadati; Pseudomonadota; Gammaproteobacteria
Description: bacterial SSU rRNA
Rfam family: Bacterial small subunit ribosomal RNA
Source: RNAcentral